Molecule: ribosomal RNA, 1378 nt
Filed under: metagenome
Description: bacterial LSU rRNA
Rfam family: Bacterial large subunit ribosomal RNA
Source: RNAcentral
CCUAAGGAAUGCACACGAUCGGAAAUGUGUGUCCAAGCAGCAAGUCUGAGAACGAGUGAAAUGCUUUUUCUCUCAAGGACAAGCUGUGAUGGGGAGCGAAAUUUAGUAGCGAAGUUCCUGAUGUCACACUGCCAAGAAAAGCUUCUAGUGAGAAAGUAACUGCCCGUACCGCAAACCGACACAGGUAGUUGAGGAGAGAAUCCUAAGGUGUGCGAGAGAACUCUCGUUAAGGAACUCGGCAAAAUGACCCCGUAACUUCGGGAGAAGGGGUGCUGACCGCAAGGUCAGCCGCAGUGAAUAGGCCCAAGCGACUGUUUAUCAAAAACACAGGUCUCUGCAAAAUCGAAAGAUGACGUAUAGGGGCUGACGCCUGCCCGGUGCUGGAAGGUUAAGAGGAGAGGUUAGCGCAAGCGAAGCUUUGAAUUGAAGCCCCAGUAAACGGCGGCCGUAACGAUAACGGUCCUAAGGUAGCGAAAUUCCUUGUCGGGUAAGUUCCGUCCCGCACGAAAGGCGUAACGAUUUGGGCACUGUCUCAACGAGAGACUCGGUGAAAUUAUAGUACCAGUGAAGAUGCUGGUUACCCGCGACAGGACGGAAAGACCCCAUGGAGCUUUACUGCAGUUUGAUAUUGCGUGUUUGUAUCACAUGUACAGGAUAGGUAGGAGCCGAAGAUACCGGGACGCCAGUCUCGGAGGAGGCAACGGUGGGAUACUACCCUUGUGAUAUGACCACUCUAACCCGCUGCUCUUAGCGAGCAGGGAGACAGUGUCAGACGGGCAGUUUGACUGGGGCGGUCGCCUCCAAAAAUGUAACGGAGGCGCCCAAAGGUUCCCUCAGAAUGGUUGGAAAUCAUUCGUAGAGUGUAAAGGCAGAAGGGAGCUUGACUGCGAGACCUACAAGUCGAGCAGGGACGAAAGUCGGGCUUAGUGAUCCGGUGGUUCCGCAUGGAAGGGCCAUCGCUCAACGGAUAAAAGCUACCCUGGGGAUAACAGGCUUAUCUCCCCCAAGAGUUCACAUCGACGGGGAGGUUUGGCACCUCGAUGUCGGCUCAUCGCAUCCUGGGGCUGUAGUCGGUCCCAAGGGUUGGGCUGUUCGCCCAUUAAAGCGGUACGCGAGCUGGGUUCAGAACGUCGUGAGACAGUUCGGUCCCUAUCCGUCGCGGGCGUUGGAAAUUUGAGAGGAGCUGUCCUUAGUACGAGAGGACCGGGAUGGACACACCGCUGGUGUACCAGUUGUUCUGCCAAGAGCAUCGCUGGGUAGCUAUGUGUGGACGGGAUAAACGCUGAAAGCAUCUAAGCGUGAAGCCCCCCUCAAGAUGAGAUUUCCCAUCACUUUAAGUGAGUAAGACCCCUGAGAGAUGAUCAGGUAGAUAGGUUGG